Lycium ferocissimum is the source of this 687-nucleotide long non-coding RNA. RefSeq lists it as uncharacterized. NCBI's taxonomy places the organism in Eukaryota, Viridiplantae, Streptophyta, Magnoliopsida, Solanales, Solanaceae. The record is from RefSeq and is a predicted model, not a curated record. The transcript has 3 exons.
AUAUCUGUAAACCAUGGAUGGUGAUGUUCACUUGCACAAGAAAAGUAGCGGAAAGUAUCUUUAUGGAUGUGGGCUCGAAGAACAUGAGAAAAGUAGCGGAAAGUAUCUUUAUGGAUGUGGGCUCGAAGAACAUGAGUUCCCGGUGUUGAAAUAGACAUUUGUAGCAGCAAGAAAGUAACAAACUCCUACUAACAUAAUUGCUAAAAUAUGAUAGAAUUACGAGGAAAUGAUGAUCUCAAACUACGCGAAAGUGUCUGUCUUUCAACACAAAUUGUAGAGAAUUGAUGGUAUACAUACAUUCAACUUAAUUUUGACAUUUUGUGUCUUUCUUAAGUUUGCUGCUUUAAUGAAAGCUUCUAAAAUAUAUCACUAUGUUUGAGUUUAUUUUUGAAGUCUUUUAUUUUGGAAACACAACUCUAAGGAGCUGUCUACGUGUGACUUAACGGUCACGGAUUUGAACUGUGGAAGCAACCACUAAUGCUUGCAUUAGGAUAGACUGAUUGUCUACAUCAUAUGACUGCCCUUUUUUGCCCUUUACAACUCUAAUGGAUGUUUUUACUUAGCUAAAUUUUGUGAGGUCUACAUUAAUGUGGAACAGUUGCUUCCUUAACAACCAAGAUGUGUUGUUUGUGACUAAAAGUUGGCCUUUGAAGAGGUUAAUCCCGCUUAUUUUUGUUUUUACCACGA